GCUCCGGUGGUGGAAUUGGUAGACACAUACGAUUCAGGGUCGUACGCGAAAGCAUCCGAGUUCGAGUCUCGGCCGGAGCACCA
This 83-nucleotide transfer RNA is filed under the name bacterium. RNAcentral's name for it is "tRNA-Leu". The record is from RNAcentral.